AAAGGCAUAGCUCAGUGGUAGAGCAUUCGACUGCAGAUCGAAAAGUCCCCGGUUCAAACCCGGGUGCCCCCUUG
This 74-nucleotide transfer RNA is filed under the name Rhipicephalus sanguineus (brown dog tick). RNAcentral describes it as "transfer RNA cysteine (anticodon GCA)". The stretch from base 4 to 68 matches the Rfam family "tRNA". From Rfam's summary of the family: Transfer RNA (tRNA) molecules are approximately 80 nucleotides in length. Lineage: Eukaryota; Metazoa; Arthropoda; Arachnida; Ixodida; Ixodidae. The record is from RNAcentral.